Long non-coding RNA from Bos taurus (domestic cattle), 2123 nucleotides. Lineage: Eukaryota; Metazoa; Chordata; Mammalia; Artiodactyla; Bovidae. The record is from Ensembl.
UUUCAUUUAUUUUCAGCUGCGGGUCUUCGUUGCUGCAGGAGGGCUUUCUCUAGUUGUGGCGAACAGUUCUCUAGCUGCAGUGUGCGGGCUUCUCGCUGUGGUGGCUCCAUGCAGAGCAUGGGCUCUAGCAGCUCAGGCUUUUGUAGUUGCGGCACAUGCGUUGAGUUGCUCCACAGCACGUGGUAUCUUUCUGAGCCAGGCGUCGAAUUUGUGUCAUCUGCAUGGGCAGGUGGAUUCUUAACCACUGGACCACCAGGGAAGUAAGUCCCAGGGCCCUCAAAACCCACUUAUGAUGGGAAAAAAAAAAUCUCCAGAAAGUGGGCAUAGGGGGAACCUGCCUCCACGUAAUAAAGAGCAUAUAUGACCAACUUCCCUGGUGGCUCAGACGGUAGAGUCUGCCUGCAGUGCUGGAGACCCGGGUUCAAUCCCCUGGAGAAGGAAAUGGCAACCCACUCCAGUAUUCUCGCCUGAGAAUCCCCUCGAUGGAAGAACCUGGCGGGCUACAGUCCAUGGGGUCGCAAAGAAUCAGACACGACUGAGCAACUUCACUUCACUUUCACGACAAACCCACAGUUAACAUCAUUCUCAAUGGUGAAAAGCUGAGAUCAUUUCCCUCUAAGAUCACGAACAAGACAAGGAUGUCCACUCUCACUGAGGCAGAAGUUAUAAUGAGCCCCAGGCUGAGCAGCUGGAAUCUGUCCUCUGUGAACAGAUACACCAGGAUAAAGAUAAUGGCAGCAGCAAGGAGGAGCUGAGUCCUUUCUGGAGAGAAGAAAAAGGGACCACACAUUUCUCAGUCUUGAGGUCAAGGAGACCUCCCAAACUACACAUACACAGAAAGGUUCCUCAGAGGUCAAGGAAAGCAGGGAGCACCAGACCAUAAUAUGUUCUUUUUCCCAGAAACCGUUGCACUGGAAUCCAUCUUGGCUAAAAGGUGUGCAAGCAGGAGGAGAGGACCCUGAGGUGGAUCAGACAUGGACUCAGAGCUAGACAAGGCAAGAUGACUGGCCAGAGGGAACCCAGAACCGACCCACAUGAUCUAGGGUCUUGAAACUGGCCACCGGCCCUCCUGGUCUAGUGGCGAGGAUUCGGUGCUCUCACUACCGCAGCCUGGCUUCAGUCCCUGGUUGGGGAACUGAGAUCCCACUUCAGGCUGUGGCAGGUGGAAGCCACCCAAGAUCAUUUUUGGUACCAAAAGCUGCAGGUUACCCAGCAUGGGAGGAAGCCCAUCCAAGCUGGAAGAAACACCUCUGGAUGUAUGCAUAAGAACUGGGAACUUUUUAAAAUAGAAACACUUUCAAACUGUGGUGUUGGAGAAGACUCUUGAGAGUCUCCUGGAGAGCAAGGAGAUUAAAUCAGUCCAUCCUAAAGGAAAUCAAGCCUGAAUAUUCAUUGGGAAGAUUGAUGCUGAAGCUGAAACUCCAAUACUUUGGCCCCCUGAUGUGAAGAACUGACUCAUUGGAAAAGACCCUGAUGCUGGGAAAGAUUGAGGGCUGGAAGAGAAGGGGACAACAGAGGCUGAGAUGGUUGGAGGGUAUCAUUGACUCAGUGAACAUGAGUUUGAGCAAGCUCUGGGACAUAGUGAAGGACAGGGAAACCUGGGGUGCUGCAAUCCAUGGGGUCACAAAGAGCUGGACACCACUGAGCGACUGGACAAAAACAAAGGAGGGAAAACAAAUUCUACUGCAACACUGCUUGGGUCUCUGUUCAACAAUGAAGAAAAAUGACAGGAGAAUAGCUCUCUAAAUUACAGCACCAUUCUGCAAUUGGGUCUUUAUUGCCCAAAGAUAGGAUAGUGGACUGAGAUUCCCUAUGUUGAAGUCCUCAUGGCCCUUUGCCAAGAUUCUGCCCCAACUCUUGUAAUCAAAAGCCCAAGGGACCAGAAAACUCUCUUGAGAUGAUCUCCUUCUAAUUCCCCCGACUCCUGAGGGGGAACUGAGCUCCCCGUACUCCUGACAGCACCCCUCCUUCUUCAGAGCACUCACUCUCUGGGCUCACCCACCUCCCUGGAUCCCUCUGACCCAUCCACAACUCCACGUCCCUAUGUCUCUCCCUGAUUCUCUCUUCCUCCUCAGCAUGGUCUUGAUUAUUAAAUACCCCAAAGGCCACCUCUAGGAGUGUGG